Long non-coding RNA from Lontra canadensis (Northern American river otter), 90 nucleotides. RefSeq lists it as uncharacterized. The record is from RefSeq and is a predicted model, not a curated record. The transcript is spliced from 3 exons. NCBI's taxonomy places the organism in Eukaryota, Metazoa, Chordata, Mammalia, Carnivora, Mustelidae.
GGUGAAUGGGUUGGGAAGGCCGUUCAGUCAGGGUAAGAGGCACCAUGGCGAACCUUAGGAUUUUGAGAAUCUGGGAAAAAGUGAAGAUGC